AGGACGAACGCUGGCGGCGUGCUUAACACAUGCAAGUCGAGCGGAAAGGCCCUUCGGGGUACUCGAGCGGCGAACGGGUGAGUAACACGUGAGUAACCUGCCCCUAGCUCUGGGAUAGCUCCGGGAAACCGGGAUUAAUACCAGAUACGACCACUUUAGACAUCUGUCGUGGUGGAAAGGAUUCCGGCUAGGGAUGGGCUCGCGGCCUAUCAGCUUGUUGGUGGGGUAACGGCCUACCAAGGCGACGACGGGUAGCCGGCCUGAGAGGGCGACGGCCACGACUGGACUGAGACACGGCCCAGACUCCUACGGGAGGCAGCAGUGGGGAAUAUUGCGCAAUGGGCGAAAGCCUGACGCAGCGACGCCGCGUGGGGGAUGAAGGCCUUCGGGUUGUAAACCCCGUUUCAGCAGGGACGAAGCGAAAGUGACGGUACCUGCAGAAGAAGCACCGGCCAACUACGUGCCAGCAGCCGC
RNAcentral lists this ribosomal RNA (474 nucleotides) under uncultured bacterium. RNAcentral's name for it is "SSU rRNA". It matches the Rfam family "Bacterial small subunit ribosomal RNA", at positions 26 to 518 of the family's 1533-position model. The record is from RNAcentral.